RNAcentral lists this long non-coding RNA (2666 nucleotides) under Mytilus galloprovincialis (Mediterranean mussel). The record is from RNAcentral. Lineage: Eukaryota; Metazoa; Mollusca; Bivalvia; Mytilida; Mytilidae.
GUAAAGUAAUUGGUCUAUAGUUGUCUAAAAGAAGUGGGUUUCCCUUUUUAUAUAAUAAAGAGACUACUCCUAUUUUUUGUAGUGUGCUCAUUUCUUCCUUUUGAUAGCAUGUGUUAAAAACUUUAACAACAAUUUCUUUUAAAUUUGUCCAGAAGGUUCGAUAAAAUUCUACACUGAUCCCGUCGAUGCCCGGUGAUUUAUUUAAUUUCAUAGAUUUAAUAGCUUCUGUACAUUCUUUUAUGGUAAGCUCCCCUUCUAGAUUUUGAGUUUCCUCAUGAGAAAGAGUUUUAUCUACUUUUGUUUCUGUUAUAUAUUUUUUUAUUUCAUUUUCAUUAGGAUUUGUACUUUUAUAUAAAUUUUCAUAGAAGUUUUUUUCUAACUUUAAAAUUUCAGAUGAAUCUGUUAUAAUUUCUCCUUUUUCAUUCGUAAGUGCAGAAAUAUUUUUAUGAGUUUGUCUGGAUUUUUCAAGGCCUAUAAAAAAUUUUGUGUUUUUUUCUCCUUCUUCUGUCCAUUUUACACGUGAUCUAACCUGAGCUCCCUUUGCUUCAUUUAUGUAAAGGUUCUCUAGUUUUUUCUCAGCAUUGUUUAUUCUAUUUUGAACAUUAUUAUCCUGUAAGUUUUCUGCAUUUUCGUUCAAUUUUUUUAAUGACAGUUCUAAUUUAAUUAUUUCAUUUUUAUUUUCAGCUUGUUUUUGCCUACAGUAUUUAAUGGUUAUGUCUCUUACUUCAGCUUUAAAAACGUCCCACUUAACUCGAGGAUCUACAGCCGUAGUAAGUAUUUUUUGUUUAUAAGUUUGAAUUAAGUUAUUAAUGAGAUUUUGAUAUUUUGUGUCAUUCAAUAUACUGUUAUUAAUUUUAAAGAAACCUCGGCCUCUACUGUGUGCUUUGUGUCUUAGCUUUAAUGAAAUUGCCUGAUGAUCAGUGUAAGAAAUAGCAGCGGGUCUAAUAUCUGCUGCUGUAAUAUGUGGUCUUAUAUCAGAGCUAAUAAGAAAAUAAUCUAUUCUGCUUGCUAUGUUAAAGUUAUUUUUCCUUCUCCAGGUGAACUGUCUUUUGUUUGGGUUAAUUUCUCUCCAUAUAUCAACUAACUUAUGUUUUUUUAUUAAUUGUUUCAAACUAUUUACAGGUUUAUUAAAUUUUUGUGUACUUGUACUUUUUCUGUCGUUUUCAGUCAGACUUUCAUUUAUAUCCCCUCCAAGUAUUAAAAUGCCUAAUCUAUUAUUUUCAAUUAAGUUGUUUAUUUUUUUGAAGAAAGAAUUUCUAUUUCUUUGUAUAUUUGGUGCAUAAACAUUAACUAAAGUGAAGAUGUUAUUAUCAAGUUCUACAUUAAUUAGAAUAAACCUGCCCUCCUCAUCUUUAAUUUCAUUUAUUAUUUUGUGAUUUAUGUUUUCUUUAAUUAAAAUUGAAACACCUCUGGAUAGGGAAUUGCCAAAGCUAUGGUAUAUCUUACAUUUAGUUUCACUAUUUAUUACAUUUAUGUUUUUAUCGGUGAAAUGGGACUCUUGAAUAAACAAGAUGUCACAUUUUUGAUUUUCACACCAAAUAUAUAGUCUGUCUCGCUUUUCUUUUUUUCCUAGCCCUUGGCAGUUCAAGGAGCAAAUAUUUAAAUUAUUACUCAUCUAAAUAAUGAACUAUACAUGUAUUAGCAAAGAUUACUACAGAGAUAUACAUCAUAACAAACUGUUUUAAGUUGUUGUAUACAAUACAACUAUGACUAAACGUAUAAUAGUAGUAAUGCAUGAGUAUAUAUAAUAUAUAUGUAUCAUUAUAAUAUGUGUUUUUUACAAUAAUACAGUUUUGUACUUGUGCCUGUAUGUAUAUAGGAGCUUGAUUUUCAGAAAUUACUUUUUCUAUUUUCAGAUAUUUGAAUUGUUCAAUAAGGAGUGUUCGAGUGCUCAACAACAUUAUAACUGUGAUCAAAUGAAAUAUAUUCUCAACAGUUUUUGAUGACGUCUUAAAUUUUCCAUACAUUUGAACCUGGAAAUGAUAUCUUUUUGUGUAGAAUUCUUUGGAGAUUUUUAAAUGUUCACUUAACGCUGCUGUACAUGUGUGUAUCAUGUGUUUUAAUAAGAUAUGGAUCUGUACUUCAAGUGAAUAUACUGCGUCAAAAUGAUUAGCAUAGCUGGUUGUGGAAUAUGUGUGUCUUGAUAGUAUGGUGCAAAAAUAUAUGAGUGCAAUUCGUUUCGUACUUCCUGUGUGUGAUGCGGUAUAUGGUGAUAUACUACAUGUAGUUGCGUACCAUAUUUGCAAUUUCGUAGGAAUAUGAAGUGGUUGGUAUAUUUUCCGAUUAUCCUUGUUUGAAUUGCAGAAAAUAGAAGAUUUGUUUGUACAAUCAGUGCUUACGUGUAAUAAAAGCAUUUUGGUGAUGAACCGAAUUAAACAAAUGCAGCCUAAUGACGUGGAUAGUAGAACUAGUGAUCGUUUCAUUUUGUUAACUAGUGAAUAAAAGUUUUUUCUUUUUGUUGGUUUAAUGCUUGUUUUAAAAUUAUCUGUUUCUUUCAGACAUAUGUUUUUGUUGGUAUUUUGUGAAUAAACAUACAUAUAAGAUAAAUUACAUAUUACACUGUUUUCUAUUUCUACAUCAUCAUGAUCAUCAAUUGAGAACAUAUGAUCUAGUUUUGUGUCAUAUUUCUCUUUUUGAUUGGUUAAUAUACAUGUACUACUCUUAUC